GCCACCGGGUCGCCGAAUCCUGCCAGCCCGAAUGGCCCCUGACACGUCACGGCAGGAGCGGGGGACCCACCGAUCCACGGCACUCGUGCCUUGGGGUGCAGUCCUCUCGGUCUUCGGACCGGAAGGGCGGGGUGCUUCUCCACCUCAACCCGACAGCUAACUCCGUAGGCGCAGGAGAGUUCGCCA
Molecule: small RNA, 186 nt
Filed under: Janibacter hoylei
Lineage: Bacteria; Bacillati; Actinomycetota; Actinomycetes; Micrococcales; Intrasporangiaceae
Description: c-di-AMP sequence
Rfam family: c-di-AMP riboswitch aptamer (ydaO/yuaA leader)
About the family: This family represents a conserved RNA structure found upstream of the ydaO and yuaA genes in Bacillus subtilis and related genes in other bacteria. The ydaO/yuaA element is thought to act as a genetic "off" switch for the ydaO and yuaA genes in its native state.
Source: RNAcentral